This 406-nucleotide ribosomal RNA is filed under the name uncultured bacterium. RNAcentral describes it as "partial 16S ribosomal RNA". It matches the Rfam family "Bacterial small subunit ribosomal RNA", at positions 30 to 526 of the family's 1533-position model. The record is from RNAcentral.
AUUGAACGCUGGCUGCAGGCCUAACACAUGCAAGUCGAACGAGUGGCGGACGGGUGAGUAAUGUCUGGGAAACUGCCCGAUGGAGGGGGAUAACUACUGGAAACGGUAGCUAAUACCGCAUACUAUCGGAUGUGCCCAUAUGGGAUUGGCUAGUAGGUGGGGUAAAGGCUCACCUAGGCGACGAUCCCUAGCUGGUCUGAGAGGAUGACCAGCCACACUGGGAAUGGGACACGGUCCAGACUCCUACGGGAGGCAGCAGUGGGGAAGAUUGCACAAUGGGCGCAAGCCUGAUGCAGCCAUGCCGCAUGUAUGAAGAAGGCCUUAGGGUUGUAAAGUACUUUCAGCGGGGAGGCGUUACCCGCAGAAGAAGCACCGGCUAACUCCGUGCCAGCAGCCGCGGUAAUAC